GUCCCCAGUUGCUUACCUCUCCGUUGGUUUUGGUAAACGUUGAGUUUUUCCUGGUCGUCCCCAGUUGUUUUACCUCUCCGUUGGUUUCGAUAAACGUUGAGUUUUUCCUAGUUGUCCGUUGGCAUCUAGUUGUGAUUUCUAUUCCCAUUCAUCGUCGUUGUGAUGUCUGGAUGUGGCCGUAUCCUUUGAGAAGAAAAAAAACCAAAAAAUACCC
Molecule: long non-coding RNA, 214 nt
Filed under: Lathyrus oleraceus (garden pea)
Lineage: Eukaryota; Viridiplantae; Streptophyta; Magnoliopsida; Fabales; Fabaceae
Description: Pisum sativum (pea) long non-coding RNA (PSAT_LNC010072)
Source: RNAcentral